Molecule: ribosomal RNA, 395 nt
Filed under: uncultured bacterium
Lineage: Bacteria
Description: bacterial SSU rRNA
Rfam family: Bacterial small subunit ribosomal RNA
Source: RNAcentral
GUGUCAGCAGCCGCGGUAAUACAGAGGGUGCAAGCGUUGUUCGGAAUUACUGGGCGUAAAGCGCGUGUAGGUGGCGGCGUAAGUCGGAUGUGAAAUCCCUCGGCUUAACCGAGGAAGUGCAUUCGAUACUGUGUCGCUUGAGUACUGGAGGGGAUGGCGGAAUUCCCGGUGUAGAGGUGAAAUUCGUAGAUAUCGGGAGGAACACCUGUGGCGAAGGCGGCCAUCUGGACAGUCACUGACACUGAGACGCGAAAGCGUGGGUAGCAAACAGGAUUAGAUACCCUGGUAGUCCACGCUGUAAACGAUGAGUGCUAGACGUCGUGGGUAUUGACCCCCGCGGUGUCGAAGUUAACACGUUAAGCACUCCGCCUGGGGAGUACGGUCGCAAGAUUAAA